This 587-nucleotide ribosomal RNA is filed under the name uncultured archaeon. RNAcentral describes it as "partial 16S ribosomal RNA". It matches the Rfam family "Archaeal small subunit ribosomal RNA", at positions 341 to 954 of the family's 1478-position model. The record is from RNAcentral.
AAGACGCUUACACAAUCGCACAGAAAGGGGGAUAAGGGAUUCCAAGUGCUCAGGUGGGCAGGGGCUUUUGCCAAGAGUAAAUAUCUUGGGGAAUAAGGGGGGGGCAAGACUGGUGCCAGCAGCCGCGGUAACACCGGCGGCCCGAGUGUAAAUUUUUUGUUAAAGGCCUACCGGUUUGAUCAUUCUUCGGGAAAUCUAAAGCCCAACUGUUAGGUCCCGGGGAAUACUGCGAUUGACCGGGAGAGGUAAGAGGUACUACCGGGUGGGAGUGAAAUCUUGUAAUCCUGUGGGACCCCAUUGGCGAAGGCGUCUUACCAAAACGGGGCCGACGGUGAGGGACAAAAGCUGGGGGCACAAACCGAAUUAAAUACCCGGGUAGUCCCAGCCGUAAACAAUGUUCGCUAGGGGUCAGGGACGGUGGGCCCGUUUCUGGUGCGGUAGGGAAGCCGUGAAGCGAACCACCUGGGAGGUACGGCCGCAAGGUUAAAACUUAAAGGAAUUGGGGGGGGAAAGGGCGAAUUCGCGGCGCCUAAUUUCUAUUCGCCCUAUAGGGAGUGUAUUACAUUCACGGGCCGUGUUUUUACAAA